This 204-nucleotide microRNA precursor is filed under the name Oryza nivara. RNAcentral describes it as "MIR812 microRNA precursor family". It matches the Rfam family "MIR812 microRNA precursor family". The record is from Rfam by way of RNAcentral. Lineage: Eukaryota; Viridiplantae; Streptophyta; Magnoliopsida; Poales; Poaceae.
AAAAAGACAAACCCUGGUUUUCGUGUCCAACGUUUGACCGUCCAUCUUAUUUGAAAAAAUUAUGAAAAAAAUAAAAAGAUAAGUCACGCAUAAAGUAUUAAUCAUGUUUUAUCAUCUAACAACAAUGAAAAUACUAAUUAUAAAAAAAAUUCAUAUAAGACGGACGGUCAAACGUUGGCACGGAAACCUAGGGUUUGUCUUUUU